Molecule: unclassified non-coding RNA, 5240 nt
Filed under: Lytechinus variegatus (green sea urchin)
Lineage: Eukaryota; Metazoa; Echinodermata; Echinoidea; Temnopleuroida; Toxopneustidae
Description: ras-associating and dilute domain-containing protein- like, transcript variant X1
Source: RNAcentral
CUAGCUAUUGUUACCCUCCCUCCUUCAUCUCAUUAUUAUACCAUGAGUUUAGCCCCCCUACUUCCAUGUACCUAUAUUCUAUUUGAUCAUUCUGGCAAUGAAGUGUGCUAGUGCUCCACUCCAGUGCAUUUUGAUGAUGGAAUGAUGAAUCUCUCAUGGAGUGGAUGACCGCACUCCAAAGUGCACAAUCCGCCACACAGUUCUUGUUUUUCUUGCAGCGCAUACGGAGAAGAAGUAAUCAUGAGGACUGUCUCAAUUGAUGAUAUUGAUUAAAAGCGCUUGUUUGUGCACGCGAUUCCAGAGAGAAGGUGUUUUUUUGUUAUUACCAAAUUGCUUUGGAACUAUAGACCACAUGGACAUACACUCUUGUCUUUUGAUAUGAUAUAUCAGUAUUUCAUUUCCAAAUUGGAGGCAUAAAAGGAUGAAAUUCUGCUAUCUGAAGAGGAAUGUCCAUUGGACAUUGCUGUAGAAAGCAAACGCAAAGUCCGGUUUGUACUUAAAGUCCCUCAGGAUCAGGAAAUGGCCAAUCAACAUGGGGCUUUGCCGGCCCUUACAGACUCUGCCAGACACAAGAUGCUGAGCAAAUUUUUUGGAGUCAGCAGCAGCGAACUUAGUCUUCCCUUCUCGCAGUCUGUACCUUCAUCACAUGAUAACAUAUCUAAUGGCUUUGACUCCCCACGUUCAGACACAUAUUCCAACUGUGAUGCCAUCAGUGUGAGCAGUAGUAACAGCAGUAGUAGCAGCUUUUCAAAUGGCCAACGCAAAUCAAGAGGGCAAAAACCUGUGCUUGGUUCAAAUGGGGUUACAGGAUUAUUAUUGAAACCUCAGACUCCUCGCUUCAAGCGAAAGGCAUCCACUCCCGGUCAAGAGCAUAGAAAUAUACGACCCCCUAACAGGGCACAGAAAAAGAGACACAGACCAAAAUCACUAACUUUGAUGCUGGAAAGAAGUCUGAGUUUAAAGAGGAGACAAAAUGACGGUGGUAGAAAGCAGAAUGGGAAAGAACUGUCAACAGAGGAAUCAGCCCCAGGAGUACUCAAAGUUUUUGGAGACUCCUUGUGCCCUGGAUCAAAUUAUAAGAGUAUACUUGCUUCUGCAAGGUCAUCAGCUGUUGAGUUAGUGAAGGAAAUUUUGACAAGGUAUUCUCUACCCAGAAGUGCACAUACAGAAUAUGUUCUGUGUGAUGUCAUUGGAAAGUUUGUAAGUAGGAAGCAAAAUGGACUGAAGAAGACAGAACAGGGUGAUUCACAGGAAAGAUGGAUUGAGGAAUGUGUAAGAGCACUUGCAGACAAUGAGAAACCUUUGAUGAUCCAGUCAUUCUGGAAGCCUGGUGAUGGUCUUGUAAGGCGAUUUGAGAUCAGACGACGACAAGAUCUCCCACCGGAGGAGAUAGACAGCAUCACAUCUGGUAUUAACAAGAAUGCCAGAAGACUUCAGAUGUCACGGUCACAUGCUGUUGCUCCAAAUGAGACCAGUAUGGACAGGUUGGAUACUGGUGUAGAUAUGGAAAAUGGAUUCUUCAAUGGAGACCUUGCUUCCCAUUCUAGUCCACGAUCAAGCAUCAUCCACUCUCAGGAUCCAAAUUUGAGCCUGGAACGCGAAGAAACAGAGAGCAGUGAUGAGCCAAUCCUUUGCAAUAUGAGAAUGCCCUCAGAAAUGCCGUAUUUCCUAACACUCCACGGUUAUGACAAUCAUGAUGUCUUGCUUCACAUGCUCACCAAGGAAGUGAUGCUUGUGGGAAAUAGACAAAUUGAACCUGAGGAGGAUGAUAGUGAUGAAUUGUAUGCAGAGGGUAUUGAUAUCUCUCUUGAGGCUCCUGAUAUCUUGCCACAGCACUGUUGGAUCUUCCGCCAGCAGAGGCAUCUACAGGAACAGGAAGACUCAAGAGAAGAAGAGAGUGAAUUUGUUGUAAGACUAGAGACCUUACCCAAUGCGCACGUCAUCAUCAAUGGUAUCCCUGUUUCUGGAAGUGCCACUCUUAACCCUGGAGACUUUGUGUGCUUUGGUCAUCACUACGCAGUUAUGUACAAGGACCCUACAGCCUGUACCUCUCCAGCAAUGUUCCCCUGGAGUAUCCCACCCAGCAUGACUCAGAGGCGCUGGGUUGCUCCCAAUCAGUAUCUUGCCCAGAAAGCCAAUGAAUAUACCAACGACAAGCAGAGAAUUAAGGUUAUGUACAGACCUCAUGAUGAGGACCAGAUUUUCAACUGGAUUGGGCAACACCUAGAGAAGGCAGACACCAAGUGUCCUCUUGGAAUGUCUUACCUCUUAGCAUCUAUGGUUGAAUAUGCCGCCUAUCAUUUUCAUCAGACCAAUGCGAAGUCACUCGUUAUCAAAUCGGCAACUCUCAUCCAAGGCAUCGCUUGGGACACAACUAAAAAUCUUGCCAAUCGCCCAGCAGAGAAACCUGAGGAUGUUCAUGGUACCAUGGCAACACUCGUCCCAGAUCUGCGUAUUCUACUCAUCUGCAUGGCCAAUGCCUUGGAGCUUCUUAACUUCUACCAGAACAACCUUCACAACUACUUGGCUUCCCAGAUGCCCUAUAAGGAUGGGAACAGCUCAACACCUUCAACUUCAUCAUCAACAUCUUCAUCAGAGCAGGAAAAGAGAGAGGUAGAGGAGGGUGAACAAGAAGUCUUGUCUAUCUUAGAAGAGGUGAUGAUGUAUACAUUCCAGCAGUGUGUCUACUAUCUCACCAAGACGCUCUAUGUAGUCCUACCAGCGGUUCUCGAUUCUAACCCAUUCUUGGAUGAAUCAAACGAUGGACGUAGUUCACCAAGCAACAGUGGUAUGGACAAGGUCAUCUAUGUCUUUCAGUCGACCUAUGACCUCCUACAUGAGGUUGGAGUUCAUUCUCAGAUUACAUCACAACUCUUUGCAUACCUGCUAUUCUUUACCAAUGCAUCACUCUUCAAUAUGCUCAUGGAAAGAGGAGUUGGAGGCAAGUUCUUCAAGUGGUCAAAGGGAGCCCAGAUCAGAGGCAACCUGGAUCUUCUAGAGAUAUGGAUCCAUGAGAAAGAUCUAAAGCUCCAGGCUAGCUUCCUACAGAAGGUUUCCAUGGCAACAGACCUACUAGCCACACCCAAACUCCAACUUGCUCAGGCGGAGUGGAGCUCAAUCCGACGGGAUUUCCCAGUGCUGAAUGCAGCCCAGAUUCAUCAGAUGCUUAGCGAGUAUGAUAUUGGAUGUUCACAGGCUUCAAGACCCAGGGCUUGGUUCCCAACACCCAAGGAAGUAGAGGCUGCAUUGAAAACAGAGGAAAUCCUGGUAAGCUUUGAUGAUCAUCCACCACUGGUUCUGCCUACGGAUGCCUUCCAACUUGAUCUAAGAUGUGAUGUCUGUGAACUGUUGCCAGGAUUCAGAGAUAUUCUUCAGGCGCUCCAUAAAGAAUUCCCAAAGAUCAGAAUAAAGACUGAUCAUGGAGAUAUCAAUCUACCGGUGUUUGAUGAGGAGUCAUCAAUCGAAGAGACAACAGGUCCGGAGGAAGACAUUCCAUCUAGGGACAAAAGGAAAAAAGCAGUCAUGCCCAAGAUCAGAUCUCGAUGUUCUUCUUGGCCUACAAAUGAGAAAGAUGCGGGGGCUAUUCUUGAUGAUAACCUGGAGGAAGAGAAAGGUGUGAAAAUUCAUCAAGCAAAAGGAGGAAUCGACCAGAGAUGCCAAAAACUCAUGGAGGAAUUAUCUCUGAAUGGGGAAGUCAACAACAAUGUAAGGAACAUCAGAGCAAGGCCAAGUGUCAGAAGACAGACAUCUCUUUCUGCAUUGCCAGACCAUAAGCCACAUCCACCCCUUGUCAAGAGUUAUAGCUCUCCAUCAAUGCCAAAUGUAGCUACAAUGGUACCUAAGGUUGAUACUGAUACAAAUGGUUCAAGAACUCUUUUGACGAGUGGAAUUAGUGAGAAUGGACAUGGUAGUAGGUUGAUGGUUGCAGAUCGGAAGCCAGAGAAUGGCUGUAAGGGUGCUCCGGUGAAUCAUGUUGUCAAGCCAAUCCUGAAGAAUAAAAAACCCAAGCCUCAUCGGAUGGACAUAGAGAAUGGUAUAUCCCACAUUACUCAGGAUGUCAUAUUAGAGGAAGAUGGUGAAGUUUUCCUACCAUCGCCACCACCAGUCUCGCCCAAACCUGCAUCUAUUCCUCCAUCACCAAGAAUCCCAACAUCAACCAUCACCAUGCAAACUCCAUCUCUUUCAUCAUCAGCGAUAUCAUCUACUGAUCAUAAGAAACAUUCCUCACCACCUCCACCUCCUCCCAAACCAAAGACAAGACCAGCUUUGAAUGGCUUUCAGCUUCCUCGCACUCCAGCCACCAAUGGAAACCUCAAUGUCAUAGCUCCUCCUCUAGGAUUUGAGUCAUCCCCAGAAGAGAAACAGAGGAGAGAGGAAGCAGUAAAGCAAGGUGAUAGGAUUAAACAGGACGUCUUCAAACUGGAGGGCAAAGAUAUUGAGAUAACCCUGGAGAAUGGAGACAAGGGAAGGGUGGUGGAAGAAAGUAAAGAAAAUCAGAAAGUCAUUGGAGCAGAAAAGGGGGAAGCUCUAAGCAGUAAUAUGAGCAACAACAAUGUGGAUCUGGAUGGAGAAGGGCUAGAGGAACUUCUUAAAGGGAUUGAUUGCCAAGACAACAGCGACCUUAGUUUCUGGCAGGAAGACCGCACAGGAUCAGAGUCAACAGGUAGCCUUGCUACUCCUGAGAGUUGGACCAAUGAAUCACCUCAAAGUGAAUGGUCAUCAUCAUCAUUCAGGCAACGCAAGGAUUCUAUAGAUGAUGUGUUUGUAGUGGAUCUAGAGAAGGGAGAGUCUGGUCUUGGUCUUGGACUAGUUGAUGGACUGCACACUGUGUUGAAAUCUCCUGGGAUCUAUAUCUGUAAGGUACUGCCUGGUGGGUCAGCUAACCAAUGUGGUAAACUCAGAGUUGGUGAUAGGAUUCUAGCAGUCAAUGGUACAAGUCUAGUAGGGGCAGAUUAUGAUAGGUAAGUAGUAGAGGUACUUAGAGUGUCUAGUAGGGGCAGAUUAUGAUAGGUAAGUAGUAGAGGUACUUAGAGUGUCUAGUAGGGGUAGACUAUGAUAGGUAAGUAGUAGAGGUACUUAGAGUGUCUAGUAGGGGCAGAUUAUGAUAGGUAAGUAGUAGAGGUACUUAGAGUGUCUAGUAGGGGCAGAUUAUGAUAGUGCAAUGAAUCUGAUCAAGAAUACUGGUGAUAAGUUACGUAUACUGGUUGGCAAAUCAGAUAACAACACUGCUAUGAAGAUCA